GGGCCCGCACAAGCGGUGGAGCAUGUGGUUUAAUUCGACGCAACGCGAAGAACCUUACCUGGGCUCGAACGGCCGUGGACAAUCUGUGGAAACAUGGACUUCCCGCAAGGGACCGCGGUCGAGGUGCUGCAUGGCUGUCGUCAGCUCGUGUCGUGAGAUGUUGGGUUAAGUCCCGCAACGAGCGCAACCCUCGUCCUGUGUUGCUAACCGAAAGGUGCACUCUCAGGAGACCGCCGGCGAUAAGCUGGAGGAAGGUGGGGAUGACGUCAAGUCAUCAUGGCCUUUAUGUCCAGGGCUACACACGUGCUACAAUGGGCGGUACAAUGCGUUCCGAAACCGCGAGGUGGAGGCAAUCGCAAAAAACCGUUCUCAGUUCGGAUCGCAGGCUGCAACUCGCCUGCGUGAAGCUGGAAUCGCUAGUAAUGGCGCAUCAGCACGGCGCCGUGAAUACGUUCCCGGGCCUU
This 464-nucleotide ribosomal RNA is filed under the name uncultured bacterium. RNAcentral describes it as "bacterial SSU rRNA". It matches the Rfam family "Bacterial small subunit ribosomal RNA", at positions 917 to 1382 of the family's 1533-position model. The record is from RNAcentral.